CACGUAGGGGCCAAGCGUUGUCCGGAUUUAUUGGGCGUAAAGAGCUCGUAGGCGGUUCGGUAAGUCGGGUGUGAAACCUCCAGGCUCAACCUGGAGACGCCACCUGAUACUGCUGUGACUGGAGUCCGGUAGGGGAGCGUGGAAUUCCUGGUGUAGCGGUGAAAUGCGCAGAUAUCAGGAGGAACACCAGCGGCGAAGGCGGCGCUCUGGGCCGGAACUGACGCUGAGGAGCGAAAGCGUGGGUAGCAAACAGG
This 254-nucleotide ribosomal RNA is filed under the name uncultured bacterium. RNAcentral's name for it is "partial 16S ribosomal RNA". It matches the Rfam family "Bacterial small subunit ribosomal RNA", at positions 524 to 776 of the family's 1533-position model. The record is from RNAcentral.